UGUGUGUAUAUAUAUAUAUUUGUUUGUGUGGUGUAUAUUAACAAUGAUAUAAAUAUAGUAAAUAUCUCAUUAGACAUCAUAGCUCAGAAACUGGGGACCGUCAGCAACCAACUAAUUUCUCUUCUUGCAAUGAUCUUGUAUUUAGGGACUCUAUAAACAGUGACAGAAAUGUUUUGUUAUGCUUGGCCCAGACUGAUUUCAAAAGUAAAGAAGAAACAGUGAAACAAUAUAAAAGUGGAAUUGAAGGUCUAAUCCUCUCUAUCGUCGGCGGAGAAGCGUUUGAAGAGUCGUUAGGCUGAAAUGUUCCUCUGAUUGUUAUUAUUUGGUCCUGACAUCAGUCUGUAGCUUUGCCACAAAGCCUGCUGUGUUUGUUUUACCCAGAAUGUGUGUGUGUGUGUGACUGUGUUUGUGUGUGUCUGUGUAUUUCGGUGUAUGCGUGUGUCUGACUGCAUGUUGAUCUGGUGGUUGGUGUUGACAUGUAGACAGAGAAAACCGCUUCAUAUUAACCCUGGAUCUCGUCUUGGUCUUGGUUUCCUGGUAUCACCCCAGCCAAACAGGAACAGAACAGCCGUCACUGAUGGAUGUGAUGUGGAGCUCUGGCUGCCGGCCGGCUGGAGGGCGUCACUGCUGUGUUUCACAGUCGGGCUUUGUGGUGCGUCACCAGAGCAGUGGGAUCCUCCUGGGAAGGAUGGACACCAUGUUUAUCUUUAAUCCCGACACACGCCGAGAGCACGUCCUUAUGGGACAUCAUGGCCCGAGAGAGGGAACCAUGGGGGUGCAUUACACUGAGACUGGGUGGAGGGGAGGGGGAUUGGGUGGAGGGGAGAGAGACUGGGUGGAGAAGUAAGAGACUGGGUGGAGGAGUAAGAGAGUAGAUGGAGGAGUAAGAGACUGGGUGGAGGAGGAAGAGAGUAGAUGGAGGAGUAAGAGACUGGGUGGAGGAGGAAGAGAGUAGAUGGAGAAGUAAGAGACUGGGUGGAGGAGUAAGAGAGUAGAUGGAGGAGUAAGAGACUGGGUGGAGGAGGAAGAGAGUAGAUGGAAGAGUAAGAGACUGGGUGGAGGAGUAAGAGAGUAGAUGGAGGAGUAAGAGACUGGGUGGAGGAGGAAGAGAGUAGAUGCAGGAGUAAGAGACUGGGUGGAGGAGUAAGAGAGUAGAUGGAGGAGUAAGAGACUGGGUGGAGGAGUAAGAGAGUAGAUGGAGGAGUAAGAGACUGGGUGGAGGAGUAAGAGAAUGUCGGGGGUAAUGAGAGACUGGGUGGAGGAGGAAGAGACUGACGAAGGGAUGCAAUACACUAGAGAGCCCCAGACCAGACCAGACCAGGCCCGACCAGACCAGACCAGGCCCGACCAGACCA
This is a long non-coding RNA of Esox lucius (northern pike), 1355 nucleotides long. NCBI's taxonomy places the organism in Eukaryota, Metazoa, Chordata, Actinopteri, Esociformes, Esocidae. The record is from Ensembl.